Molecule: non-coding RNA, 28 nt
Filed under: Mus musculus (house mouse)
Lineage: Eukaryota; Metazoa; Chordata; Mammalia; Rodentia; Muridae
Source: RNAcentral
UNGCAAGUACAGGUGUCUAGGAAAGUGG